UAGGAGAAGAUAAAACAGAUAUAGAGAGAGAGUGUUUCUUAUUAAAGGGAAGAGAAGAGUUUUUUUAGUGUGUUUACAAACGAACGCAAACGUUCGUAUAUAUAGAAGGAAAUUUACUGUGCAAAUAGUGCAGCGGGCCCCACAUCUUUUAUAAUUUCAAACAUUACGGCUCCUUCUGUUUUUGUUGACUUUCGUAACA
This 199-nucleotide long non-coding RNA is filed under the name Brassica napus (rape). RNAcentral describes it as "long non-coding RNA (BNAP_LNC021588)". Lineage: Eukaryota; Viridiplantae; Streptophyta; Magnoliopsida; Brassicales; Brassicaceae. The record is from RNAcentral.